UACGGAGGGUGCGAGCGUUAUCCGGAAUCACUGGGUUUAAAGGGUGCGUAGGCGGGUUAUUAAGUCAGUGGUGAAAUCUUGUCGCUUAACGAUAAAAUUGCCAUUGAUACUGAUGAUCUUGAAUUGGGUUGAGGUUAGCGGAAUGUGACAUGUAGCGGUGAAAUGCAUAGAUAUGUCAUGGAACACCAAUUGCGAAGGCAGCUAGCUGGGCCUUGAUUGACGCUGAGGCACGAAAGCGUGGGUAGCGAAC
This 250-nucleotide ribosomal RNA is filed under the name uncultured bacterium. RNAcentral describes it as "partial 16S ribosomal RNA". It matches the Rfam family "Bacterial small subunit ribosomal RNA", at positions 524 to 773 of the family's 1533-position model. The record is from RNAcentral.